AGUGAACGCUGGCGGCAGGCCUAACACAUGCAAGUCGAACGGCAGCACAGGAGAGCUUGCUCUCUGGGUGGCGAGUGGCGGACGGGUGAGGAAUACAUCGGAAUCUACUUUUUCGUGGGGGAUAACGUAGGGAAACUUACGCUAAUACCGCAUACGACCUACGGGUGAAAGCAGGGGACCUUCGGACCUUGCGGGUUUGAAUAAGCGGGUGUCGGAUUAGCUAGUUGGCGGGGUAAAGGCCCACCAAGGCGACGAUCCGUAGCUGGUCUGAGAGGAUGAUCAGCCACACUGGAACUGAGACACGGUCCAGACUCGUACGGGAGGCAGCAGUGGGGAAUAUUGGACAAUGGGCGCAAGCCUGAUCCAGCCAUACCGCGUGGGUGAAGAAGGCCUUCGGGUUGUAAAGCCCUUUUGUUGGGAAAGAAAUCCAGCUGGUUAAUACCCGGUUGGGAUGACGGUACCCAAAGAAUAAGCACCGGCUAACUUCGUGCCAGCCGCCGCGGUAA
Molecule: ribosomal RNA, 506 nt
Filed under: uncultured bacterium
Lineage: Bacteria
Description: partial 16S ribosomal RNA
Rfam family: Bacterial small subunit ribosomal RNA
Source: RNAcentral